GCGGGCGUAGCUCAGUUGGUAGAGCGUCAGCCUUCCAAGCUGAGGGUCGCGGGUUCGAGCCCCGUCGCCCGCU
RNAcentral lists this transfer RNA (73 nucleotides) under Pseudomonadota bacterium. RNAcentral describes it as "tRNA-Gly". It matches the Rfam family "tRNA". From Rfam's summary of the family: Transfer RNA (tRNA) molecules are approximately 80 nucleotides in length. Their secondary structure includes four short double-helical elements and three loops (D, anti-codon, and T loops). Further hydrogen bonds mediate the characteristic L-shaped molecular structure. tRNAs have two regions of fundamental functional importance: the anti-codon, which is responsible for specific mRNA codon recognition, and the 3' end, to which the tRNAs corresponding amino acid is attached (by aminoacyl-tRNA synthetases). tRNAs cope with the degeneracy of the genetic code in two manners: having more than one tRNA (with a specific anti-codon) for a particular amino acid; and 'wobble' base-pairing, i.e. permitting non-standard base-pairing at the 3rd anti-codon position. Lineage: Bacteria; Pseudomonadati; Pseudomonadota. The record is from RNAcentral. RNAcentral also lists the same sequence under 4 other names.